RNAcentral lists this ribosomal RNA (264 nucleotides) under uncultured archaeon. RNAcentral's name for it is "partial 16S ribosomal RNA". It matches the Rfam family "Archaeal small subunit ribosomal RNA", at positions 717 to 982 of the family's 1478-position model. The record is from RNAcentral.
AGACGUCUACAUUAGAUACCCCGGUAGUCCCAGCCGUAAACUAUGCGCGUUAGGUGUAUCGGUGACCACGAGUUACCGAGGUGCCGAAGGGAAACCGUGAAACGUGCCGCCUGGGAAGUACGGUCGCAAGGCUGAAACUUAAAGGAAUUGGCGGGGAGCACCACAACGGGUGGAGCCUGCGGUUUAAUUGGACUCAACGCCGGGAAGCUCACCGGAUAAGACAGCGGAAUGAUUGCCGGGCUGAAGACUCUGCAUGACUAGCUG